AGUUAAGGUGGCAGAACCCGGCCAUCGCAAAAGGUCUAAGCCCUUUCAACAGAGGUUCAAAUCCUCUCCUUAACUA
Molecule: transfer RNA, 76 nt
Filed under: Cynoglossus senegalensis (Senegalese tonguesole)
Lineage: Eukaryota; Metazoa; Chordata; Actinopteri; Pleuronectiformes; Cynoglossidae
Description: tRNA-Leu
Rfam family: tRNA
About the family: Transfer RNA (tRNA) molecules are approximately 80 nucleotides in length. Their secondary structure includes four short double-helical elements and three loops (D, anti-codon, and T loops). Further hydrogen bonds mediate the characteristic L-shaped molecular structure. tRNAs have two regions of fundamental functional importance: the anti-codon, which is responsible for specific mRNA codon recognition, and the 3' end, to which the tRNAs corresponding amino acid is attached (by aminoacyl-tRNA synthetases). tRNAs cope with the degeneracy of the genetic code in two manners: having more than one tRNA (with a specific anti-codon) for a particular amino acid; and 'wobble' base-pairing, i.e. permitting non-standard base-pairing at the 3rd anti-codon position.
Source: RNAcentral